RNAcentral lists this ribosomal RNA (250 nucleotides) under Metschnikowia sp. (in: budding yeasts & allies). Its description in RNAcentral is "Metschnikowia sp. (in: Fungi) partial large subunit ribosomal RNA". The record is from RNAcentral. Lineage: Eukaryota; Fungi; Ascomycota; Pichiomycetes; Serinales; Metschnikowiaceae.
AGUACGGCGAGUGAAGCGGCAAAAGCUCAAAUUUGAAAUCCCCCGGGAAUUGUAAUUUGAAGAGAUUUGGGUCCGGCCGGCAGGGGUUAAGUCCACUGGAAAGUGGCGCCACAGAGGGUGACAGCCCCGUGAACCCCUUUAACGCCCYCAUCCCAGRUCUCCAAGAGUCGAGUUGUUUGGGAAUGCAGCUCUAAGUGGGUGGUAAAUUCCAUCUAAAGCUAAAUACCGGCGAGAGACCGAUAGCGAACAA